This is a non-coding RNA of Rattus norvegicus (Norway rat), 1542 nucleotides long. NCBI's taxonomy places the organism in Eukaryota, Metazoa, Chordata, Mammalia, Rodentia, Muridae. The record is from RefSeq and is a predicted model, not a curated record.
UUUAUCUGGAUUCCUGGAAACAUGGUCAAGAAAGUAGAAUCCACAAGUGGCAGUGCCAAAUAGACUCUCUUCUGUCCUUAUGAAUCUAAUGAAGCUGAGGUUUCACUGUACCUCAAGCCAUUCCUAAUCCUGCACAUGCUCCUGAAUCUUGUUUGGCCUGAAGAAAGAAUCAUACUAAAACGUCCAAAUCUUUCAAGUCUCUUCCUGGGAACUCAUGAAGGUAGAUAUUAGAGAACUGAUAUAUACUGGGACUAAAAAAAAAAUUUCUAUAGCCCAUGCUGUCCUUUGCUUUAAUGAUGUCUUGUAAUUUUUGGAUAAAAUAAGAAUUUGGCAGAUUAUGAUUUGAAGAAGGUACAAAAUAUUUACACUUUUAUAUUCACUCUAUAGCUGUGCCCCCUUUGUUGACAAAAUUAUUGCAAAAAAUCAAUUGGAAAACAGAAUUUUUGAGUACAUAUUCAGGAAUAUAUAUAACGUCUGAAGAAAGAAUCAUGGUAAAACAUCCAAAACCUUCAAGUAUUGCCCUGGGACCACAGGAAGGUAAAUAUUAGAGAACUGAUAUCUAAUAGAACUACAGAACCACAUUCUAUAGUCCAUGUUUAGUAAUGUCUGGUAAUUUUUGGGUAAAAUAAGGAUUUGGGAGUUUAUCAUUUGAAAGAGGUACACAAUAUUUACACUGUUAUAUUCACUCUAUAGCUGGGCCAUGUUUGUUGCUAAAUUCAUUGCAAAAAUGGAAUUGGAAAAAAUGAAAUUUUUGAGUACACAUGCAGGAAUAUAUAUAAUGUGCACUGUCAAUUAAUGUACAAUCAGAAAAUGUAGCACGAUAUUCACUCAUUAAAGGUCUGUAGGGAAAAUACUGGCACCUGGGGAACAGAGAAAACCUAGGUAAUUGAACUUAUUGUCACAGGAUUGGACUUGAGAAAAAUUUAAUAUACAGAAGAAUCUCCUUCCUUACGUUUUCCUAGAUCAUUUCUAACCAUGACGAGCCCCUGACUAACUUUCUUCAUUCAGAACAUGUAACCACUAAUGAAGCAGAGAGAAGUCUCUAGCUUUAGAGAGAUGUAGCAUGUAAAGGUUUCUACUGUGUCACAGGAGACACUCCUGGAGAGGCCACCUCCAAAUCUGGUCAAUGUAAGGAAAGCUGUUCGGCAGGUAGGCCAUGGCAGUUCUCAGUGACUUCAUCAUUAGGCCCUGCCUGAAAAAUCUCUGGUAUCGUGGAGAGCCCUAGCUUCAUCUGUGAUGUCACAAGUGUUGUCAUGUCAGCCACUGCCUCUCAGAUAUUCCUUCCAUAUUUCUAUGGUUUACUAAUUGGCCUCUAAUUCAGAGUAAAGAGCCAUUUGGAAGGGAGGACAAAUAGGAUGAAGAGAUCAGAGAUGGGGAGAAGGAAGAUGGCCUUCUGUCAUGGUAUAAUAGAAAAGAAGAAAUAUGUGUUUCUUGGGAAAACACCCUGAAAAUUUUCAUCAAAGGAGCAAGAAAUUCUUCAUAACUUCAACACAACAUGGCCUUUGGGAACAGAAUAAAACACAAAUAAGGAAAGGCGGAAAA